Molecule: long non-coding RNA, 1239 nt
Filed under: Helianthus annuus (common sunflower)
Lineage: Eukaryota; Viridiplantae; Streptophyta; Magnoliopsida; Asterales; Asteraceae
Source: RNAcentral
UUCCCCUUUCCAUCUUUCCUUCACAAAACCCUAAUCUAAGCCGGUCGCAUGUCGUUAACCUCUUCAAUUUGCGAUUCCUCUCUGCUACUCCUUCAUCUCCGGUGAUUACUCCGGAGUAUAAGGGCAGUUUGGCGACACUUAGUUGACCAAAGUCUUCAUGAUUUCAUUCGGUUCAACAUUGAACAGGACAAGUAAUGGUUGAUGGGCAUGAGCAUGACAUUAAGGAACUUACACUGUGUUCCAGAGUUUACUAAUGGAAGGAAGGAAAAGAAACAAAAAGAAAGUAAAAAUAUUUUGUGUUCCAGAGUUUCAUUUAAGGAAGGAAAAGAAAGUAAAAUAAAAAAUGCCGUGUUCCCGAGUUUCAUUUAAGGAAGGAAUAGAAAGGAAAUUAAAGGAAAACUAAGCUAAAUUCUUUAGUUUUUCUUUCCUUCAGAUUUGGGAGGAAAUGGUGGGAAAGACAUCUUUUUUUUCCUUUCUCGUCCUUUCCUUUCUCACUUUUACUUUCUUUUCUUAUCCCUCGUUAAGUUAACUCGGGAACAGAGCGUUAAAUUGAAAUGGUUAAGACAACAAAUUGGGUUGGUUAGCCAAGAGCCAACAUUCUUUGCGAUAACCAUUCAAGAAAACAUCCUUUUGGGUUGACUCGAUGCGUCCAUGGUUAAAAUUGAAGGAAGCUGCUCGUGUGUCCAAUGCGUAUGAUACUCUGGUCAGACCAUUUUUUGCAUUGGAAGGGUAUUAUCAUCAUUUUAAGCCAGGCCAGAUGGUUUGAUUUAAACAAUUAUAUUAGCAAUACGUGUUUUCUUUAAGUAUUUAUGUUUCUUUAUCAAUAAUUCAUUCUUUUUUAGUCCAUGAUUGCUUUUCUAUCACUUUUUUUGAUAAUCUACUAGAAAGUGUUAGUGGCUUAAGUGAAACUUGGAUGCUUCACGAGGCAUAUCGUUUGUCUCCUUACUGAAUACUCCGGUGAUCCAAACAGUUGGUGCGCACUGCGCAUAUUUCUUAAAAGAGAAUUCGUUCCGGUGGAUCAUAGGCAGAUCCAACAAAGGAGUAUCACAUGGCAGAAAUUGAAUGCUGGUGUGGAAGAUUAUAUUUUUAGGUCACAUGUAGUUUUUGUUCUCGUAGGGAUGGUUCUGCAGUUACUUUUUGUGUUUUCCUUAUAUUAUAUUUUGGUGGCUUUUAGCAACUUGCUAAGAGCUAUUGGUAUUUAAUGAUAUGUCAUCAAUUUGCCUUUCAAAUAAACUUAAA